UCUCCGUAGGUGAACCUGCGGAGGGAUCAUUACAGAGUUCUCGCCCUCGCGGGUAGAUCUCCCACCCACUGUUAUCGUUACUGUGUUGCUUUGGCGGGCCGCCGGGCCCCGCUCGGCCGCCGGCUCCGGCUGGCGCGCGCCCGCCAGAGGCCCAGCAAACUCUGAAUGUUAGUGUCGUCUGAGUACUAUAUAAUAGUUAAAACUUACAACAACGGAUCUCUUGGUUCUG
This 229-nucleotide unclassified non-coding RNA is filed under the name plant metagenome. Its description in RNAcentral is "partial contains small subunit ribosomal RNA, internal transcribed spacer 1, and 5.8S ribosomal RNA". The record is from RNAcentral.